UACAGAGGGGGCAAGCGUGGUUCGGAAUUACUGGGCGUAAAGGGCGCGUAGGCGGCCUUCUAAGUCGAACGUGAAAUCCCCGGGCUCAACCCGGGAACUGCGUCCGAGACUGAAAGGCUCGAAUCCGGGAGAGGGAUGUGGAAUUCCAGGUGUAGCGGUGAAAUGCGUAGAUAUCUGGAGGAACACCGGUGGCGAAGGCGGCAUCCUGGACCGGUAUUGACGCUGAGGCGCGAAAGCCAGGGGAGCAAACGGG
Molecule: ribosomal RNA, 253 nt
Filed under: uncultured bacterium
Lineage: Bacteria
Description: partial 16S ribosomal RNA
Rfam family: Bacterial small subunit ribosomal RNA
Source: RNAcentral